AGGGGAGCUGUUGGGCGGUAGUUUACUGCACUAGUGUAGCCAGCUGGGAAGGGAGAAUGGUAAGGGGCGUGUCUUACUGCAUCAGUACAUCUGGUAGGGGAAGGGAAGCUGUUAAAUGGUGUGUGUUGCUGCAUCAAUAAAAUAUGCCAGUUAAAGGAAGGUGUUGAGGGUGUGUCUUACUGCAUCAGUACAGCAUAUAAAGUAAGUGGAAGGUGUUGAGGGGUGUGUCCCACUGCAUCAGUACAGCAUACAAAGUAAGGGAGGGUGUUGAGGGGUGUGUCUUACUGCAUCAGUACAACAUAUAAAGUAAAUGGAAGGUGUUGAGGGGUGUGUCCCACUGCAUCAGUACAGCAUACUAGGUAAGGGAAGGAGUUGAGGGGUGUCCUACUGCAUCAGUACAGCAUACUAUGUAAGGGGAAGGUUUUGAGGGGUGUGUCUUACUGCAUCAGUACAGCAUACUAGGUAAGGGAGGGUGUUAGGGGUGUGUCUUACUGCAUCAGUACAGCAUACUAAGUAAGGGGAAGGUGUUGAGGGGUGUGUGUUACUGCAUCAGUACAACAUACUAGGUAAGGGAAGGAGUUGAGGGGUGUGUCCUACUGCAUCAGUAUAGCAUACAAAGUAAGGGGAAGGUGUUGAGGGGUGUGUCUUACUGCAUCAGUACACCAUGUUAGGUAAGGGGAAGGUGUUAAGGGAUGUGUCUUACUGCAUCAGUACAGCAUACAAAGUAAGGGGAAGGUGUUAAGAGGGGGGGGGGUGUGUUUUACUGCAUCAGUACAGCAUGCUAAGUAAGUGAGGGUGUUGAGGGGUGUGUCUUACUGCAUCAGUACAGCAUGCUAAGUAAGUGAGGGUGUUGAGGGGUGUGUCUAACUGCAUCAGUACGGCAUACUAAGUAAGGGAAGGUGUUGUGGGGCGUGUCUUACUACAUCAGUACAGCAUACUAAGUAAGGAAAGGUGUUGAGGGGUGUGUCUUACUGCAUCAGUACAGCAUACUAAGUAAGGGAAGGUGGAGAGGUGCAUGGUUUAUUUCAUCUGUACAGCAUACUAAGUAAGGGAAGGUGUUGAGGGGUGUGUCAUACUGCAUCAGUACAGCAUACUAAUUAAGGGAAGGUGUUGAGGGGUGUGUCUUACUGCAUCAGUACAGUAUACUAAGUAAGGGAGGAUGUUGAGGGGUGUGUCUUACUGCAUCAGUACAUCAUACUAAGUAAGGGAGGAUGUUGAGGGGUGUGUCUUACUGCAUCAGUACAGCAUACUAAGUAAGGGGAAGGUGUUGAGGGGUGUGUCCUACUGCAUCAGUACAGUAUACUAAGUAAGGGGAGGAUUUGAGGGGUGUGUCUUACUGCAUCAGUACAGUAUGUUAGGUAAGGGGAAGGUGUUGAGGGGUGUGUCUUACUGCAUCAGUACAGUAUACUUAGUAAGGGAAGGAGUUGAGGGGUGUGUCUUACUGCAUCAGUACAUCAUACUAAGUAAGGGAGGAUGUUGAGGGGUGUGUCUUAUUGCAUCAGUACAUCAUUCUAAGUAAGGGAGGAUGUUGAGGGGUGUGUCUUACUGCAUCAGUACAGCAUACUUAGUAACGGAAGGUGUUGAGGGAAGUGUCUUACUGCAUCAGUUCAGCAUCGUAGGUAAGGGGAAUGUGUAGAGGGGUGUGUCUUACUGCAUCAGUACAGCAUACUUAGUAAGGGAAGGCGUAGAGGGGUGUGUCUUACUGCAUCAGUACAUCAUUCUAAGUAAGGGAGGAUGUUGAGGGGUGUGUCUUACUGCAUCAGUACAGCAUACUUAGUAACAGAAGGUGUUGAGGGAAAGGGGUGUGUCUUACUGCAUCAGUACAGCAUACUAAGUAAGGGAAGGCAUAGAGGGGUGUGUCUUACUGCAUCAGUACAGCAUACUAAGUAAGGGAGGGUGUUGAGGGGUGUUUCUUACUGCAUCAGUACAGCAUACUAAGUAAGGGAAGGCAUAGAGGGGUGUGUCUUACUGCAUCAGUACAGCAUACUAAGUAAGGGAGGGCAUAGAGGGGUGUGUCUUACUGCAUCAGUACAGCAUACUAAGUAAGGUAAGGUUUUGAGGGGCUUGUCUAACUACAUCAGUUCAGCAUGGUAGGUAAGGGGAAGGUGUUGAGGGGUGUGUCUUACUGCAUCAGUAUAGCAUGGUGGGUAAAGAAAGAGGUGUGGCUUACUACCUCAAUGCAGCAUGCCAGGUAAGGGAAAAUAUUGAUGAACAAUGCUUACUACAGCAUGGAGGGAAGGGGAAGAUGUUUAGGGAUAUUUCCAUCCUUUAUUGCAGUUGAAAAUGCCUUGGUACAAGAAUGAUCUGUCAAGAAAAUAGUUUUGAGGGACCUUGAAUCAAUGUGGAGGGAAAGAGUUCAGUUAAUGUGGAUAUCGACAGAAUUAAGGUGCACUUAAGUAGGUGCAGAUUAGGGGAUGUUGGGAAGCAGCUUAGAAGGCACAUAAGGUUUCAGCAGGUUCAGAGUGGGCAUUUGAAUUAUCAAUGAACGUGCUUAGAUUCACAUGAAUAUUGACGGGAGCUCAAAAGGCAUAUGGAAUGUCCCUAUUCAGUGGGCAUUGAUUGCAGGAUGCUGAGUACAUUGAAAUUAACAGCAUGUGUUUAUGUUUUACCUGAAGCUCUUAUAUUGGUGUGUAGUAAUAUCAUUAUACUUAAAUGUUUACCACGAUCUCUGUGACUGUUAUUAAUGUUUUGUCGCUCUGCAUGAUAUAGUUUAGUUUUAACUACCAUGAAAUGUUUCUUCCUUGGCAAUCAAUUUGUGGUGGACAUUUCGUCAGUAAUUUUAUAACUUUGAACAAAUUAUUAUUUUCAUGUAUGUUAGUGAUUUCCUAACCUAGAGAUAUUAUAUUUUACAGAUUUAUGUUUUGUGUAUUUUCAUAUAUUAGAUUAUUCGCUGCCUUAUACAUACAUAGUCAUUGUAUUUUCUGCAGAGAAAGCAACUUUUUCUAAUGUCUACAUUUUCAUACAUGUUGUCCGAAAUGAACUGCUCAAUAUGAACCGUACAACAUCCCUCUGAUUCUUGGGAUGUCAGUGUUGCCUGUCUGUAGAUACUGAGUAACUGAAGACACUGGUCUGGUGGCAGGAUGAGAUCAGGAUAACCCAUAUCAGCAGCAGAAUACAACAUGCAGUCCACGUAUCGCUUGGGAGGGACUUGGAGCAGUUUCGUAUUUAUCGAUUCAAUCAGUAGAAAUGAGAAUGAAUCAACUCUGCAUGUUGUAAGACAGACAGAAGUUUAUUUUUUCAAAUUUCAGCAGGACUCUUAUCUUGUUUGUUUUGUGAACAGAUUAUGUAACGUAAAUAGUUGUAUUUGACAUGCAGAGAUAGCACUCACUAACACUAGCUGACAGAGGGUAUUGGAGGGGAGGUGAAAUUGGGUUUAACGUCGUGCUUGAGAAUAUUUCGCUCAUAUGGCAACGUGCAUGCGUGUGUAUG
Haliotis rubra (blacklip abalone) is the source of this 3429-nucleotide long non-coding RNA. RefSeq lists it as uncharacterized. Lineage: Eukaryota; Metazoa; Mollusca; Gastropoda; Lepetellida; Haliotidae. The transcript has 10 exons. The record is from RefSeq and is a predicted model, not a curated record.